Molecule: ribosomal RNA, 497 nt
Filed under: uncultured bacterium
Lineage: Bacteria
Description: partial 16S ribosomal RNA
Rfam family: Bacterial small subunit ribosomal RNA
Source: RNAcentral
GAUGAACGCUGGCGGCGUGCCUAAUACAUGCAAGUCGAGCGAACGGACGAGAAGCUUGCUUCUCUGAUGUUAGCGGCGGACGGGUGAGUAACACGUGGAUAACCUACCUAUAAGACUGGGAUAACUUCGGGAAACCGUAGAUAAUACCGGAUAAUAUUUUGAACCGCAUGGUUCAAAAGUGAAAGACGGUCUUGCUGUCACUUAUAGAUGGAUCCGCGCUGCAUUAGCUAGUUGGUAAGGUAACGGCUUACCAAGGCAACGAUGCAUAGCCGACCUGAGAGGGUGAUCAGCCACACUGGAACUGAGACACGGUCCAGACUCCUACGGGAGGCAGCAGUAGGGAAUCUUCGGCAAUGGGCGAAAGCCUGACGGAGCAACGCCGCGUGAGUGAUGAAGGUCUUCGGAUCGUAAAACUCUUUUAUUAGGGAAGAACAUAUGUGUAAGUAACUGUGCACAUCUUGACGGUACCUAAUCAGAAAGCCACGGCUAACUACGUG